UACGAAGGAUCCAGGCGUUGUCCGGAUUUACUGGGUUUAAAGGGAGCGUAGGCGGAUAUAUAAGUCAGUGGUGAAAGCCUUCAGCUUAACUGAAGAAUUGCCAUUGAAACUGUGUGUCUCGAGUAUGGUUGAGGUCACUGGAAUGUAACAUGUAGCGGUGAAAUGCUUAGAUAUGUUACAGAACACCAAUUGCGAAGGCAGGUGACUAGGCCAUAACUGACGCUGAGGCUCGAAAGCGUGGGGAGCAAACAGG
This 253-nucleotide ribosomal RNA is filed under the name uncultured bacterium. RNAcentral describes it as "partial 16S ribosomal RNA". It matches the Rfam family "Bacterial small subunit ribosomal RNA", at positions 524 to 776 of the family's 1533-position model. The record is from RNAcentral.